UACGUAGGGUGCGAGCGUUAAUCGGAAUUACUGGGCGUAAAGCGUGCGCAGACGGUUCGUUAAGUCAGAUGUGAAAGCCCCGGGCUCAACCUGGGAACUGCAUUUGAAACUGGCGGGCUUGAGUAUGGCAGAGGGGGGUGGAAUUCCGCGUGUAGCAGUGAAAUGCGUAGAGAUGCGGAGGAACACCGAUGGCGAAGGCAGCCCCCUGGGCCAAUACUGACGCUCAGGCACGAAAGCGUGGGGAGCAAACAGG
Molecule: ribosomal RNA, 253 nt
Filed under: uncultured bacterium
Lineage: Bacteria
Description: partial 16S ribosomal RNA
Rfam family: Bacterial small subunit ribosomal RNA
Source: RNAcentral